UCCCUCUUAGCUCAGUUGGUAGAGCGCGUCACUAGUAUUCUUUGUACUUCUUAUUAUACAUGACGAGGUCAGUCGUUCAAAUCGGCUAGCGGGAA
Molecule: non-coding RNA, 95 nt
Organism: Mycena epipterygia
Lineage: Eukaryota; Fungi; Basidiomycota; Agaricomycetes; Agaricales; Mycenaceae
Source: the annotation of a GenBank genome assembly